UACGUAGGGUGCAAGCGUUGUCCGGAAUUAUUGGGCGUAAAGAGCUCGUAGGCGGUCUGUCGCGUCUGCUGUGAAAACUCGGGGCUUAACCCCGGGCCUGCAGUGGGUACGGGCAGACUAGAGUGCGGUAGGGGAGACUGGAAUUCCUGGUGUAGCGGUGAAAUGCGCAGAUAUCAGGAGGAACACCGGUGGCGAAGGCGGGUCUCUGGGCCGUAACUGACGCUGAGAAGCGAAAGCAUGGGGAGCGAACAGG
RNAcentral lists this ribosomal RNA (253 nucleotides) under uncultured bacterium. RNAcentral describes it as "partial 16S ribosomal RNA". It matches the Rfam family "Bacterial small subunit ribosomal RNA", at positions 524 to 776 of the family's 1533-position model. The record is from RNAcentral.